AAAAUCUCCAUGAGUGCUAAUGGCAUAAUGAAUGGGAAGAAACAAUAUAAAAAAAUGAAUACAGUGUUUUUAGUGAAUAUGCCAAUAAUCUACAGAGUCUGUUGUCAUAUCUGGUCUCCCAGUGAAGCCUCCGAAGACAGAGGCACUGGUCUGUCUGUUGGCACGAUGUUUUGAUGAAAGAAAAAGAAACAAAAGAAAGCAACUUUUUUUUUAACCAAGUUUGUAUUAGAAUUUUAUAGCUGCAACAAAAUGCAGAGCACUGAAGUCUAAGUGAAACUUAAGCAGCAAACUGGUACAUUGAAAGUGGCAUCAGUAUUAAAUUCAUCUUCCCUUUAAUGAUCUGGGUUUCAGAUAUUGCUUCCAGGACACAUGCUGAAGACCCCUAACCCUUGUGCAAAUCCUGAAGAUGCAUCCUUGGAAGCAUGCACUUUUUCUGUGAUAGAAAGGGAAAAUGCAGCCUUCUGCUUUACUGGAGUUUGCAAGGACACAGUAUAUUUGCUUAAGAGGGAACUCUACUGGCUACUUUUUGGAAGUUUCUUGCUCCUUCUGCCUGAAAAAGCGGAGGGCAACACUUUUUGGUUUUAUGGUGAUGAGAACAAGCCAUUACAACUGGACCAGACUGUGACAGGAAAGUGUUCUUGUUGUAUCAAAGGCAGCAAGCAGGCUGCCAAAAAAAGAAAAGUCAACAAAGCUGUUCAGAUUACU
This 705-nucleotide long non-coding RNA is filed under the name Apteryx owenii (little spotted kiwi). Its description in RNAcentral is "lncRNA (ENSAOWG00000012073.1)". Lineage: Eukaryota; Metazoa; Chordata; Aves; Apterygiformes; Apterygidae. The record is from RNAcentral.